GCAUAUCAAUAAGCGGAGGAAAAGAAACUAACAAGGAUUCCCCUAGUAACUGCGAGUGAAGCGGGAAAAGCUCAAAUUUAAAAUCUGGCUGUCUUCGGCAGUCCGAGUUGUAAUCUAGAGAAGUGUUAUCCGCGUUGGACCGUGUACAAGUCUCCUGGAAUGGAGCAUCAUAGAGGGUGAGAAUCCCGUCUUUGACACGGACUACCAGUGCUUUGUGAUGCGCUCUCAAAGAGUCGAGUUGUUUGGGAAUGCAGCUCAAAAUGGGUGGUAAAUUCCAUCUAAAGCUAAAUAUUGGCGAGAGACCGAUAGCGAACAAGUACCGUGAGGGAAAGAUGAAAAGAACUUUGGAAAGAGAGUUAAACAGUACGUGAAAUUGCUGAAAGGGAAACGCUUGAAGUCAGUCACGUUGGCUAGAAAUCAACCUUGCUUUUGCUGGGCGUACUUUCUGGUUAACGGGUCAGCAUCAAUUUUGACCGUUGGAAAAAGUUCAGAGGAAUGUGGCAUCUUCGGAUGUGUUAUAGCCUCUGUUCGCAUACAAUGGUUGGGAUUGAGGAUCUCAGCACGCCGCAAGGCCGGGUUUCGACCACGUUCGUGCUUAGGAUGCUGGCAUAAUGGCUUUAAUCGACCCGUCUUGAAACACGGACCAAGGAGUCUAACAUGCCUGCGAGUGUUUGGGUGGAAAACCCAAGCGCGCAAUGAAAGUGAAAGUUGAGAUCCCUGUCAUGGGGAGCAUCGACGCCCGGACCAGACCUUUUGUGACGGAUCCGCGGUAGAGCAUGUAUGUUGGGACCCGAAAGAUGGUGAACUAUGCCUGAAUAGGGUGAAGCCAGAGGAAACUCUGGUGGAGGCUCGUAGCGAUUCUGACGUGCAAAUCGAUCGUCAAAUUUGGGUAUAGGGGCGAAAGACUAAUCG
RNAcentral lists this ribosomal RNA (912 nucleotides) under Conocybe pubescens. RNAcentral's name for it is "LSU rRNA". It matches the Rfam family "Eukaryotic large subunit ribosomal RNA", at positions 38 to 937 of the family's 3401-position model. Lineage: Eukaryota; Fungi; Basidiomycota; Agaricomycetes; Agaricales; Bolbitiaceae. The record is from RNAcentral.